AUUGAACGCUGGCGGCAGGCCUAACACAUGCAAGUCGAGCGGAUGAAGGGAGCUUGCUCCUGGAUUCAGCGGCGGACGGGUGAGUAAUGCCUAGGAAUCUGCCUGGUAGUGGGGGAUAACGUCCGGAAACGGGCGCUAAUACCGCAUACGUCCUGAGGGAGAAAGUGGGGGAUCUUCGGACCUCACGCUAUCAGAUGAGCCUAGGUCGGAUUAGCUAGUUGGUGGGGUAAAGGCCUACCAAGGCGACGAUCCGUAACUGGCCUGAGAGGAUGAUCAGUCACACUGGAACUGAGACACGGUCCAGACUCCUACGGGAGGCAGCAGUGGGGAAUAUUGGACAAUGGGCGAAAGCCUGAUCCAGCCAUGCCGCGUGUGUGAAGAAGGUCUUCGGAUUGUAAAGCACUUUAAGUUGGGAGGAAGGGCAGUAAGUUAAUACCUUGCUGUUUUGACGUUACCAACAGGAUAAGCACCGGCUAACUUCGUG
This 484-nucleotide ribosomal RNA is filed under the name uncultured bacterium. RNAcentral's name for it is "partial 16S ribosomal RNA". It matches the Rfam family "Bacterial small subunit ribosomal RNA", at positions 30 to 507 of the family's 1533-position model. The record is from RNAcentral.